UACAGAGGGUGCAAGCGUUAAUCGGAAUUACUGGGCGUAAAGCGUGCGUAGACGGUUAUUUAAGUCAGGUGUGAAAGCCCCGGGCUUAACCUGGGAAUGGCAUUUGAGACUGCAUAGCUAGGGUGCGGAAGAGGGAAGCGGAAUUUCCGGUGUAGCGGUGAAAUGCGUAGAUAUCGGAAGGAACACCAGUGGCGAAAGCGUCUUCCUGGUCCAGCACCGACGUUCGGGCACGAAAGCGUGGGGAGCAAACAGG
This 253-nucleotide ribosomal RNA is filed under the name uncultured bacterium. Its description in RNAcentral is "partial 16S ribosomal RNA". It matches the Rfam family "Bacterial small subunit ribosomal RNA", at positions 524 to 776 of the family's 1533-position model. The record is from RNAcentral.